This 391-nucleotide ribosomal RNA is filed under the name Staphylococcus aureus. Its description in RNAcentral is "bacterial SSU rRNA". It matches the Rfam family "Bacterial small subunit ribosomal RNA", at positions 1 to 381 of the family's 1533-position model. Lineage: Bacteria; Bacillati; Bacillota; Bacilli; Caryophanales; Staphylococcaceae. The record is from RNAcentral.
UUUAUGGAGAGUUUGAUCCUGGCUCAGGAUGAACGCUGGCGGCGUGCCUAAUACAUGCAAGUCGAGCGAACGGACGAGAAGCUUGCUUCUCUGAUGUUAGCGGCGGACGGGUGAGUAACACGUGGAUAACCUACCUAUAAGACUGGGAUAACUUCGGGAAACCGGAGCUAAUACCGGAUAAUAUUUUGAACCGCAUGGUUCAAAAGUGAAAGACGGUCUUGCUGUCACUUAUAGAUGGAUCCGCGCUGCAUUAGCUAGUUGGUAAGGUAACGGCUUACCAAGGCAACGAUGCAUAGCCGACCUGAGAGGGUGAUCGGCCACACUGGAACUGAGACACGGUCCAGACUCCUACGGGAGGCAGCAGUAGGGAAUCUUCCGCAAUGGGCGAAAG